RNAcentral lists this long non-coding RNA (629 nucleotides) under Phasianus colchicus (ring-necked pheasant). RNAcentral's name for it is "lncRNA (ENSPCLG00000008515.1)". Lineage: Eukaryota; Metazoa; Chordata; Aves; Galliformes; Phasianidae. The record is from RNAcentral.
UUUCAAUCUGAGCUGAUUGCUGAGGGCUGGUCACUGGGGUCUGGGCUGCUCUGCAGGGUGGUUCCAUCAAGUGUUGCCUCCAUCCUGGGUACCAAGCCAUAGGGCUGAGCUCUGUAACAGUGCAACAGCCCCUAGCACUCUGAUAAUAUCAGGGCCUGCUGACAGCAUACAGAGGACAGAGCAGGAGUUGAUUCCUCCUGUUGUGCCUGGUCAGCAGUCAGUGAGCCAGGAGAGCAGCAAGCAGCUCUGAGGGCAGAUACAGUGCUAAAAAGACCCCUGAAAAAAGUUAAUGAAAAGCAAUUACCAAGGAGUGCUUUAAUGGAAAGGAGCUGCGUGGGAGCCAGCCUUGUCCUUGUGGAUGUCGGUACGGAAGGGCUCUCCCAUAAGGCUGUUACCAUGACAGAUCGCUGCUCAGCGGCGUGAGUGUGACGUGGGCUGUGGAAGAAAGGAGGCAUUGAGAGGCACUGAAUGUUAUCUUGUCAAGGUACAGUUGUCAGCAGCAAUGCCAACUCUUCCCCUAUGAAUACCAGUGCAUCAUCAGCCCUGCAUGGAGUGUUUCAGCUCAGCAGCACUGUGUGUGUCCCCAGGCAUUGGCAGCUGGUACUGAAGGUGGUGGCCCCAGGCUGGCA